This 27-nucleotide non-coding RNA is filed under the name Homo sapiens (human). The record is from RNAcentral. Lineage: Eukaryota; Metazoa; Chordata; Mammalia; Primates; Hominidae.
UGCCAUUAGCGCGUAACGAGAGACUGC